UACGAAGGGGGCUAGCGUUGCUCGGAAUCACUGGGCGUAAAGGGUGCGUAGGCGGGUCUUUAAGUCAGUGGUGAAAUAUGGCAGCUUAACUGUCAAGGUGCCAUUGAUACUGCAGAGCUUGAGUACAGAUGAGGUAGGCGGAAUUGACGGUGUAGCGGUGAAAUGCUUAGAUAUCGUCAAGAACACCUAUAGCGAAGGCAGCUUACUAAGCUGUAACUGACGCUGAGGCACGAAAGUGUGGGGAUCAAACAGG
This 253-nucleotide ribosomal RNA is filed under the name uncultured bacterium. Its description in RNAcentral is "partial 16S ribosomal RNA". It matches the Rfam family "Bacterial small subunit ribosomal RNA", at positions 524 to 776 of the family's 1533-position model. The record is from RNAcentral.